Molecule: long non-coding RNA, 250 nt
Filed under: Vigna radiata
Lineage: Eukaryota; Viridiplantae; Streptophyta; Magnoliopsida; Fabales; Fabaceae
Description: long non-coding RNA (VRAD_LNC007839)
Source: RNAcentral
GGGUAGUUGGGAAAAUCAUGUUACAAAGGAGUAUGGAGAAAAACAAGAAAAGAAAGAAAAAGAAAAGAUGAAAGAAGAACAAAAUCUAGAAAAAGAAUACAAUGAAUGAAAGUUGGAAACUGAGUUGAGAAUUGGUUUCAAUUGUCUUGGAGGAAAAGAGAGAAUGUAGUUAUCCUGCUUUGAUUUGUCUACUCUCUUAACUCAAGGUGCUUUGUAUUAAGAAAAACCAAAUUUUGUUCUUAGCUCAACC